CCACUAGGUGCUGCUGCCGCGGCCGCCAGGGAGGGAGGUGUCGGAGGGCGGGCCCCGCGCGGUGCUAGGGUUCCGUCUGGACUGGCGGUGGUGGGUCCCAACCGGCGGUACCGGGUUCCUUCCCGACCAGCGGUGCUAGGUUCGGUUCGGACGCGCGCUGCUGGAUCUAAAUGGGCAGUGCUGGGUCCGAUGGGUGGUGCUGUGUUGGGUCCGGACGCGCGGUGCAGAGUCCGGACGGGCGGUGCUGGAUCCAAAUGGGCGGUGCUGGAUCUGGACGGGCGGUGAUGGGUCCGAUGGGCGGUGCUAUGUUCGGUUCGGACGGGCGGUGCUAGGUCUAAAUGGGCGCUGCUGGGUCCGAUGGGCGGUGCUGCGUUCGGUCCGGACGGGCGGGGACGGGCGGUGCUGGGUCCAAAUGGGUGGUGAUGGAUCUGUGGACGGGCGGUGCUGGUUCCAGACGGGCGGUGCUGGGUCCAGACGGGCGGUGGGUCCGAUGGGCGGUGCUAGGUUCGGUUCGGAUGGGUGGUGCUAGGUCUAAAUGGGCGGCGCCGGAUCCGAUGGGCGGUGCUGGGUUCGGUCCGGACUGGCGGGUCCGGGUCUGGACGGGCGGUGCUGGAUCCAAAUGGGGGUGCAGUGCUGGAUCUGGACGGGCGGUGCUGGGUCCGAACGGGCGAUGGGUCCCAUGGGCGGUGCUAGGUUCGGUUCGGACUGGCGGUGCUGGGUCUAAAUGGGCGGCGCUGGGUCCGAUGGGUGGUACUGGGUCCGGACGGGCGGUUCUGGGUCUGGACGGGCGGUGCAGUAUCCAAAUGGGCGCUGCUGGGUCCGGACGGGCGGUGCUAGGUUCGGUCCGGACGGGUGGUGCUGGGUCUAAAUGGGCGGUGCUAGGCUCAGCAGGGGACCGGUGGGCGUGGCGGCACAGGUACGGAGCGCAGGGCCGGUGGAGCGCCCUCUCCGAAGGGCCCUGCGCUCCCCGCGCUCGCUGCUCCUCCUGCCCGCGCAUUGCCCCGGGGCUGCUGCGUGUUUCUUCCAGGGUGAUUCCUUUCCGCUGGGUCACUUCAAAGCCGACCUUUUCAAGCUGUUUUCUUCCGCGGAGGACACGUUGUUAGGCUUUGUGUGCAUUUCAAGGGUCAUGUUUUCUGAACCGCGCUCUGCCGCUCUUGGGGUGUUCGAGCCCCCACACUGCUGUGCGGUGUUCCUCUCACAGAGUGAGGUUGGAGGGUCCCACUCCCUUUGUGUGUCUCCUUAGAAAACGCCUCUUCUCUCAGACACAUCGUUAUCUGCCAAUUCUUCGCAGACGUAGAGAACGGACUGCAGAGUUAAUAAACGUCGAGGGGAAGCUUUGAUGCGCCCCAUUUGGCCCUGAGAGAUGCCACGUGAUCGUCAUUUUAAAUCCUUUCCUGGGCUUCCCGAUGGACUCGAGUUUUUACUAUGUGAGCAUCCCGGUGCCUGCACAGCAAGGACUCUCAUUGGGUUCCACACGUGCUGCGCAGAUCCCUGACGCAGCGUUCACUGAACCUCAACUGCAGGAGCUUCAUUCCUGAGGACGCUGUUACCAAGAAUGACUUGCCUCUUGAAGAAUGAGUUUGCAAAGCCGGCAGUUAGAUUGCUGAUGUCCAAAGUAAGUAUGUGUAGCAUCACUAAAGAGAAAAUUCAGGAUUCCUGGAAAACAGUUAUGGGCUCUCUGCAGUGUUAUUUUUGUAAUAAAAAACAUAUAGCAUAUGUGAAAUACCUACUGGGUGAUGCAGGACACAUAGAAGGCUCGAAAUUAAUGUGAAUCAUUCUCGUUUUUCUGACUGUCAUUAAAAGUCCCCAUUUGUAUUAUGUAUGAGUGGUAUAUCAAUAUCUAAACUACACUUUAUUGUAGGUCCCAACCAACAUUAGUUUAUUGACAAAUGUUUAAGAGCAGCCAAAAAUUCAUAGAAUACCUAUGAUUCUUAAAUCAUGAACACUCCCAUAACUGGUAUAUGUUUAGGACAUGAAAAUUUCCAGGCUGACAAAUAAUUUCGCUGUCAUCGGUCAAGACUCCAGGAUGAUAUUCUGAGCCAUAUGUUAAUUUUGAUAACCACCUAGAACAAUAAAAGGUAAACAUGCUACCAUCUUCUAUUCUCAUUGCACCACUGGAUUCUGGUACAUCUAAAAAUUGUACUUAAAUGAUAUCCAAGAAAUGCUGUAAAAAACAAAAUAGGGCCGGGCGCAGUGGCUCACACCUGUAAUCCCAGCAUUUUGGGAGGCCAAGGCGGGCAGAUCACGAGGUCAGGAGAUCAAGACCAUCCUGGCUAACACGGUGAAACCCCGUCUCUACUAAAAAUACAAAAAAAAAAAAAAUUAGCCGGGCAUGGUUGUGGGUGCCUGUAGUUCCAGCUACUCAGGAGGCUGAGGCAGGAGAAUGACGUGAACCCGGGAGGCGGAGGUUGCAGUGAGCUGAGACCGCGCCACUGCACUCCAGCCUGGGCGACAGAGCAAGACUCUGUCUCAAAAUAAAUAAAUAAAUAAAAGAAUGGGCUUUUCUGUUAUUAAUUCCAUUUUAUACAUGGUGAGACUGAAAUGCAAGAUAAAGGACUGGACUGAAGCUAAACAAACCUGCACUGGGCGAGGUUGAAAAAGACCUUUUUAAUCUAUAAGUCGGUUUUUGAAAAUUCAAGUUUCUACUUUAUAAUUUUAGUUUUCCUUUUAAACGUAUAUUAUUGUUAGUUGCACUGUUCAAAAAGUUUUACAGCUUCUAUUUCAAUCAGCACUGGUAUACUAAUAUUUUUAAGUAUCUCCUAUCUAAAACCAAAAUCUACGUAAAACCUAAAAGUACCAGGUAAUAGAGGACAACAGAGCAAGACUGUCUCUUAAAAAAAGAAGUAUCACAUAAUAGGAAUAAAUAUGAGGACAGAAAGUAAUAAUAUUUUUGAAUUUCUGAUUAAACUUUGCACUUACUUUAAAAUUUUUUUCGAAAUAUUAUGAAAACCAGGUUCUGAGACCAGCCACAUGAAAUAAACCUUUUCCUGCCCCAAUUUUCACAGCCUCUAGAAAAUAGUAGGUACCAGGGAAAAGAUUAAUACAUCUAAAAAAAAAAAGAUACAAAUAUAUCAACUAUGUUUAACUAUAUCAACUAUAUUUAGUACCCUAGGUCAUUUAAUUUUCUAGCCACCAAUAAAUUCCAUAUUUUAUUAAAUUAAUCAAAUUUUGAAAAGUGUCAAUAUUACUGUAUAAAUCAUCUUACAAGUCCUUUUAGUAGAUAUAUCAAUUUAGAGGAUGGUCUUUAGCAAAAAAAGUAAAGGAAAAGGAUUUAAUAAAGGUCCAAUAGCAGACCUUCUAGGGCAGGCAGCCUUCUAUAGUAGCCCAUGCAUGUGAAAGUUAAUCUAAUUAGUUGAUCUAUAAAGUUAAAUAACCAAACUCUCCUUUGCUUAACCCAUUGCUAGAAAGGCCAGUGUUGUUAAUUUCAUUUUUUAAACAAACAAGCAAAAAAAAUUCUAGAGGAUGAGUUUUUCAUAAGUAGGGUAUGUGCUACUUUAUUGGAAAAUGAAGAAAUAUAUCUUUCAACUCUGCUUCCUUCAUUGCUUUCCCGUGUUCCUAAUAUUUAGUCACAUUUUAGGUUAGAACUUUCAGGAAGUGAGUUUUUACACAGAAAUUAGUGCUAUAAACAGCCCUUAAAAUGGGAAUUUAAUCGUACUUAUUUAAAAUAUAUAUGUAUAUAAUCUUACCAACCCAGAAAGACAUGUUCUCUGGCAUUUUAUAAACUAAGAUGCUACUGGAAGGAAAAAGCUAAAUCUGAAAUACACAAACAACAUAUUUACACUGUGAUAUGGUUUAGAUCUGUAUGCCAAAGCUGAAUCUCAUGUCAGAUUGUAAUCUCCAAUGUUGGAGAUGGGGCCUAGGAGGAGGUGAUUGGAUUGGAUCAUGGGGGCGGAUUUCCUCCUUUGGUGCUAUUCUGGUGAUGGAGUUCUCACUAAAUCUUGUUGUUUAAAAGUGUGUGGUACCUCCCUUCCCCAGCUUCCUCCUGUUCCAGCCAGGUAAGACAUGUCUGCUUCCCCUUUGCCUUCUGCCAUGAUUGUAAGUUUCCUGAGGCCUCCCCAGCCAUGCUUCCUGUACAGCCUGCAGAACCAUGAGCCA
Long non-coding RNA from Homo sapiens (human), 4095 nucleotides. Ensembl annotates it as AFDN divergent transcript. Its record names the gene AFDN-DT. The record is from Ensembl. Lineage: Eukaryota; Metazoa; Chordata; Mammalia; Primates; Hominidae.